GUCGAGGGGCAUCAGUUUGGUUUGCUUGCAAACCAAAGCUGGCGACCGGCGCACGGGUGAGUAACACGUAUCCAACCUGCCUCAUACUCGGGGAUAGCCUUUCGAAAGAAAGAUUAAUAUCCGAUAGCAUAUAUUUCCCGCAUGGGUUUUAUAUUAAAGAAAUUCGGUAUGAGAUGGGGAUGCGUUCCAUUAGUUUGUUGGCGGGGUAACGGCCCACCAAGACUACGAUGGAUAGGGGUUCUGAGAGGAAGGUCCCCCACAUUGGAACUGAGACACGGUCCAAACUCCUACGGGAGGCAGCAGUGAGGAAUAUUGGUCAAUGGACGCGAGUCUGAACCAGCCAAGUAGCGUGAAGGAUGACUGCCCUAUGGGUUGUAAACUUCUUUUAUAUGGGAAUAAAGUGGUCCACGUGUGGAUUUUUGUAUGUACCAUAUGAAUAAGGAUCGGC
This 448-nucleotide ribosomal RNA is filed under the name Bacteroides caccae. RNAcentral describes it as "bacterial SSU rRNA". It matches the Rfam family "Bacterial small subunit ribosomal RNA", at positions 61 to 497 of the family's 1533-position model. Lineage: Bacteria; Pseudomonadati; Bacteroidota; Bacteroidia; Bacteroidales; Bacteroidaceae. The record is from RNAcentral.